AGAAGAUUAUUCAUCAUUGCACAGCAGUGAAAUAUCCACCGUACCUGCAUCUGCUUCAUAUACAAUUUAUCACGUGGAUAUAACAGAAGCUGCACCGAAAUCUACCAACAUCCACCAUAUGGACAACAUGUUUACCGAAGAGAAGGGAGAUGUAUAUGAAAGUAAAUCUACAUCUUUCAUUGCUGGUAUCAUCAGUCUUCUGAUCGUUGCGGGGCUGUUACUAGUUGUGUACGCAAUGACGUAUCUACAUAAAGUCAAUUGCAUAGUUCAAGGAGAUACAGCGAGUAAAAGCACAUUUUAAAGAGAUGAAACUUAUGACCCUCACGUUCAAUUAAAAUAUGACCGCAUGAAUUAUCUUUUAUGAACAUGUAUAUAAAAGAAUAACAAUGGAAUUAAAGACUCAAGUUUUGUAUCUGUGAUGAAGUUAAUUUUCAUUUUAGUUAGUUUUUUGUGGUAUUGUCUGUAAAUAGUUGUUUAUGCUUGUAAGGUGUUUCCGUAAUGUGAUUGUUGGUCGAUAAGGCUAUUUUUAACAUACCGGUUUGGUCAGUCAGAGUAGCAGCUGUUUGUCAAGCGUGCGGCCACGUUUUCAUGCUGUCCAGCAGGGGUCUUUUCUUGGCGAAUUCCAGAAGUUAGUCUGGGUAAUGGGUAGCCAGAGAGACAAACAUUUUACUGUGUGGGCAUAGGUGUUCUCCAGCCGGUAAGCUAUUUUUGUGUGAAAAUAUUUGCGAGGUUUCGGGUUAAUUUUCUCGUGUAUUGUGUUUUCUAUUUUGUUGUUAACCAAGUCACUUUGUGUAUAGGUUUUAGGUUAAGUUAUUGCUAUUUCAGUGCAGAGGGGAUUUAAGAAGCUAUCUGGGCCAUAUCAGGCAGUACUCUCAGCGUUUCAGUAGGUGUUCGGCGUGGGAAUCAAAACACGUGAGACCGCACUGUACAUGGGUGUUCCACGUGGUGGACUUGGCAAUUAUUUUGUGGGCCUAGUGUUACCAUUGGUUUGAAGUCGGCGUUAUAACCAACAUCGUUGUCAUGUGAUAGACCUGUGAGUCCGGGACUGGAAGCGGAGGGGCUGUUCGCGCUGUAUGGAGGCCUGGUGGUGCAAAGUGUGACGUGGCGUUAAAUUGAAUUGUGCUGAGUAGCCAAACUUUCAUAUUGAGUUUCAGUAAAUUAACAUUUUAUCAAAAAGGAAUUUGAGAAAUUUGUACAAAACAUAAUUUACUACUGUUUAACUUUUUCUGUAGUUAGCGAAAUUAGCUAUAUUUGAACCAUUAUAUAAUACAUUUAUUACCAGUUAUAUUUUCAGUUAUACGUUUUAUUGAUUGUCAAUAUUGCCAGGUUUAUUUUACCAAUUUAUAUUUCUUUCUCGGUGAGAGAGUAUGGGUGUAUGUGAAAGUGUGAUUUCUUUGUUUUUCAAACAUCUUUAUAUUUCUUAUCUUAUUGCUAAAUAAACUUUCUUUUUAUUUAUUCUACGAUUGAUCAUUUUUUCUAUUGCCUACACAAAUUCCAAAAGAACUUCAUUACAGUAUCAUUCAGACUUCUUAUUUCUACCGAUAAAAACAAAAUAAACGCAUGGUACUAAAUUUACGUUGAAUCUCAUCAAAUAAUUUUAAAACAUGUUUUAGGUAAAGAAUGAAUGUUUUAAUUACUCAUUUUAACAUCUAAGCUAUUAUUUCUAGAAACAUAUUAGGUAGAAUUUGAGGACAAUAGAACUUGUUUUCAUAAAAUCUUAAAACAGUUUCUAUAACUCUCGAUCGCUGUAAGUUUCCAUUGCACGUAUUUCAAAGCUUUAUUGUUAUACGUAACUGCUUUUUAAGAUUUGUCACGUCCGAAUGAUGCUUAAUGCAACGAUGGAAUAGGAUGAAUAGAAGCAAAGUGUGUAUCCCACUUCUACCAUGGCCGUGUCAAACCUAUGAUGUAGAUAUAUAUACUGACUGCUCCUUCGUCAAACGAAGGCAAUCACUGGUUUUUGGAUAUGACCUCCAACACGGAUUCCGUGUGACAGCAGGCUUUGGUAUGAUCAAGAACCAUCACUGCUACAACACUGAGCGCAAAGCAUAGGUCUAACUUUGUGGUACUUCACCUAGAGGUGAUAAUGUCUCAAUGUCAGUGAAAAAUUCUCAACGGCAACUAAACGGAAAAUAUAACCCACAUCGUGUACUUUUAUUACAAUUAUGUGUGUCAUUAAACCAUUGAAGUCAAACCAUAUGCUGAACGUGACUAUAUAGAUACAUGUAUUUGCUCAAACAGGAAGUCAAAUCAGACUCUAAACCUAAUUAUAUAGAUCUGGGUUAAGAUGGCAACAUUGAAGUCAUAUCAAACUUUUGAACAUGACUACAAAUCAGACUCUAAAUGCGAUUAAACUUCAAUGUUAACAUAUGUUCUUCCACAUAUUUAUUUGAAAGCUACUGCUGACAGUCAAUUUAUUCUUUCUGUAUAUUCCCUAUACUUAGUCUACGAGUUAAAACUCUGUAGAUUUUAUCAAUCAAUCAAUGAAUAUUAAUAAAAUGAUUUCAGUUCAAUCUUCACAUUUUGUGCAGUGUUUUCUGGAGGGAUAUGACGCUGGACAU
This is a long non-coding RNA of Ostrea edulis (European flat oyster), 2558 nucleotides long. RefSeq lists it as uncharacterized. The transcript has 3 exons. NCBI's taxonomy places the organism in Eukaryota, Metazoa, Mollusca, Bivalvia, Ostreida, Ostreidae. The record is from RefSeq and is a predicted model, not a curated record.